GCGGCAGCUAACACAUGCAGUCGAGCGGAUGAGGGAAGCUUGCUUCCCAAUUUAGCGGCGGACGGGUGAGUAAUGCCUAGGAAUCUGCCUAUUAGUGGGGGAUAACGUUCCGAAAGGAACGCUAAUACCGCAUACGUCCUACGGGAGAAAGUGUGGGAUCUUCGGACCUCACGCUAAUAGAUGAGCCUAGGUCGGAUUAGCUAGUUGGUGGGGUAACGGCUCACCAAGGCGACGAUCCGUAGCUGGUCUGGGAGGAUGAUCAGCCACACUGGAACUGAGACACGGUCCAGACUCCUACGGGAGGCAGCAGUGGGGAAUAUUGGACAAUGGGCGAAAGCCUGAUCCAGCCAUGCCGCGUGUGUGAAGAAGGUCUUCGGAUUGUAAAGCACUUUAAGUUGGGAGGAAGGG
RNAcentral lists this ribosomal RNA (408 nucleotides) under uncultured bacterium. RNAcentral describes it as "bacterial SSU rRNA". It matches the Rfam family "Bacterial small subunit ribosomal RNA", at positions 39 to 452 of the family's 1533-position model. The record is from RNAcentral.